Long non-coding RNA from Epinephelus moara (kelp grouper), 2792 nucleotides. RefSeq lists it as uncharacterized. The transcript has 5 exons. The record is from RefSeq and is a predicted model, not a curated record. NCBI's taxonomy places the organism in Eukaryota, Metazoa, Chordata, Actinopteri, Perciformes, Serranidae.
ACAUCCUUCUUCAGUAGUUUUUCCUUUAAUUGGGCUCACCUGGCCAACUAAUUAUCACAGGUGUCUGAGAUUGAUUUCAGUGAUCCAAAGAACCCUGAGACACAAUACCAUCCAUGAGUUUAAUUGAAAAACAAAAAAUUUAAUCUUUAUGACACUUAAAUACAAUUUGCAUAAUAAUUUGGAACGCGGUGUAUGGUUAUUUGUUCAUACUUAUUCAUGUUCUGUCCUCUGCUUUUUUAACACAGGCCAAAGAGGAAAUAACGUACAGUGUUGUUAAGAAAAAGAGAAAAACUCCAGCCCAGGCACAAGAGGAUGUAACAUACAGCGAUGUAAAGCACAAGAAAAAAACUCCAGCCCAGGCACAAGAGGAUGUAACAUACAGCAAUGUAAAGCACAAGAGAAAAACUCCAGACGAGAGGUCGGAUGCUAAGAGUGAUGUGGACGUGACGUACAGCUCUGUGGUUAUUGUUGAACAACAAACUAAGGGUACAUUUUAAGAAUUUCUCAUGCACUGUACACAGUGAAGCUUUUUUCCCACAUUUUUUUCAUAGCCACACUGGCACCGUGGCUAUGUGGAUGGUGAUGUCAGUCUGUCGGUCAGUAAGUCCAUCCCUUUGGUUCAGCCUGAAAUAUCACAACAGGUAUUGGGUGAAUUAUUAUUAAAUUUGGCACAGACAUUUCUGGUAACCAAUGGGAUGAAUUUAAACAACUGUGGUGAUCCCUUAAUGUUUUGUUUGGCACCAUCAACAGGUCAGAUUCUUAAUUUCUUAUUAAUGACCAAAUACCUGCAAACAUAAUGAUAUUCCCAUCAGCCUUAGCUUGCUUUGUGUAUUGUGCUAAUUCCCAAAUAUCAGUAUGUUAACAUGCUAAACUAAGAUGAUGAACAUUCACAGUCCUGCAUUUAAAUAUUGUCAUUAUUGGCAUGUCAGCAUGCUAAAGUUAGCAUUAAGACAUACUACUUCGUCAUAAUAUUGCACCCUGACCUUUGACCGUCUUGCUCAUACAUGUGUUACCUUGGAGAUAAAAGAAAACGGCAUUCACAGACCUCGGCAGAGACGCAGGUCAAACCAGAGAGCUUUGAUCUUGUUGCUUUUCAAUAUAUGUAGUUUAAAUUUUUAUGUAAUAACUGCGUACAGUGUAGAUUCUAACAUGCAAUAUCAUAAUCACAACAGUAAACCUGUAUAUGCAUUUCUCUGUCUUUAUUUCCAUAGUUAUGUCCUGUUGUUGUUGGUUAUCUUUAUGAUGAUUUUGUUAACUUAAAAAAAUAAUAUUAUUAUUAUUAUUAUUAUUAUUAGUAGUAGUAGUAGUAUUAGACUGGUCAUCAGUCACUUGUAUUCGCUGUCAUCUGACACUGGGGCUUCUGACAGCUGUCAAUUAGCUGUCAACGAGCUCUAAUCGCCGAGAUUUAAUAUCCAAUUAGCAGUCAGAAAGGGAAUUGGGUGGAAGAGUGGAAGUCAGCUUGGUGGAUAGAUAGAGCUGGGUAUCAUCGUCAUAGCUGUGGAAUUGAAUACCACAUUUUUUGAAGAUUUGGCCAAGAGGUAGACAGUAGAUAAUAAAUAAAAGGGGACCUAAGACAGAGCCCUGAGGAACACCUCUAGUAACUGGAGAAGAGUUAGAUUUGAAAUUUCUUAUUUGAGCAAAGUGAGUGUGGCCAGAGAGAUAUGAUUUAAACCAGUCAAGAGCGGUGCCAGUGAUACCAAUGGUAACUAGUCUCUCUAGAGGGGUGUUAUGUGAAAUGGUUUCAAAGGCUGCACUUAGAUCAAGAAGAAUGAGAAUAGUUAAAAGCCCAGAGUCAGCUGCCACUGAGGGAUCAUUAGUGAUUUCUUACCAAAGCUGUCUCAGUACUGUGAAAGGAGUGAAAACUAGACUAAAAUUGUUCAGACAGAUUGUUGUGAUUAAGGUGAAUGUGGACCUGAGCUGCCACUGAGCUUUCAUGUAUUUUAGAGAGGAACAGUAAAUUUGAAAUUGGUCGUAAAUUGUUCAAGUUGUUAGGAUCAAAUUAUCAUUAUUAUUAUUAUUAUUAUUAUUAUUAUUUGGUCAUCAGUCACUUGAAUUCGCUGUCAUCUGUCACUGCGACUUCUGACAGCUGUCAAUGAGCUCAGUCGAUGUGAUGUAUCUCAUGCUGCGCAGAGGAUUGUGGGUCAGAAUAGUCAGAAAAGAAUGCUGGCUUGUGUAGUGCAUAAUGUGACCAGAUAUAAUACAACAUCCUGGUAUUUUUGGCAUACUGCAUUUGACAUAUUAUGUAUUGGCACAUACUAAUUCUUUUUUGGGCAUUCUAAGUAGUAUGUAUGGGUAUUGAAAUGCAAAGUAAGUCUGAUUUAGUGUUGAUUUAGAUUUUUCUUCUUGACUGUCAUUUUUUUCUUCUGUUCUGCAACACGUUGAAGCAAAGAUGAGGAUGUAACAUAUAGCAGCUCAGCAACAACAAAACCUGUAAAUGUUACCAAAUGUUGCCCCGACCCCACAUCUUAUCUGUCUGUCUAUCACUGGACUCUUUUUUUCUAGAUGAUUGUGUUGUCUGUUCUGUGGUUCUGCAGUAGCUUCUUCUUUUUUUGUUUUGAGGAUUUACACCUUUUUUCUCAUCAUCUUCUUCAUGGCUGCAAAAUAUUUGGCACAAAAACCCCUUACCAAAAACUAUAAUGAUGAUAAAAUCCAUCUUACAAUCCUUCUUAAGCUGAAGAGGGUCCAAAAGUGUUGACAGAAAUGAUCCAGAAAUACAGAAUACAGAAAUGUCUGCUACUGUUUAAAUUAUAUGAAACAAGAAAAUAAAGUUAAACUGUAUACACACAAAUCAA